Paramarasmius palmivorus is the source of this 93-nucleotide non-coding RNA. The record is from the annotation of a GenBank genome assembly. Lineage: Eukaryota; Fungi; Basidiomycota; Agaricomycetes; Agaricales; Marasmiaceae.
UCCCUGGUAGUAUAACGGUUAGUACUCGCGCCUAUUGUGCACAUAGUGUCGUCCAGUUCGUGCGAUAUCUGGGUUCGACUCCCAGCCAGGGAG